CUUUUCCCGGACUCCCUCCCAGCUAGCCAUGGCGCACUAACCCCCUGCAGGCUGUGUUCACGCCGCCAACACCAGUCCUCUCCCUGCGCUCCGACCGAACCCCAAGCCUCAGCUGCCAGCCUUCCCGACACGGCGAGUGAGCCAACAAGCCUCUCAGGCUGAUUUCUCUCCCUUUACACAAGAGGGCGCUGGAGCCCAAGGUACUGCACUCUUGGCUUGGAGAAGAGGAUCGAGGGAAAGGCGGAAAAGCCGUCUGGCUGUGUUCCAGUUGAUGGCACUAGCUCUGCCAGCUGGAGGUUCAGGUGUUUCAAGUUUGACUCUCCUUGGACUCAUGUACCUAAACUCCAAUCUCUCCCUUUUCCACAUCAAAACUGAGCAAUCCUGAGUGAGCUUCAAUUACUCAAGAUCCUUCUAAAAGAUUGAAGAAGAUUAAGAGAGAAUGAAUAUUUGGAGGGAAGAUCAUCAAAUCCCCAGUUUUGGGCUGGUUAAAUCAGAGAUAGGUAUAAAACAUCUAAAUGGAGAAGUGUCUGGUGCCCUGUUCUCCAGACAGAGAGCCACUUCCUUACGAACUGAAGCUUUGUGACGGGGAAUGCUGAAGCAGGGAGCAGAAGUGAGGGCUGUGAGAAGUCUCAAAUGACCAGGCCCCCCUAAGGACUCCUGAAUUCUACCUUCUAAGUGGAUAUGUGUGAUUGUGACUUAUGUUUUUGACUUGGGCAAUGGUUUUAUUAAAAUAGGAAAAAA
Long non-coding RNA from Aethalodelphis obliquidens (Pacific white-sided dolphin), 741 nucleotides. RefSeq lists it as uncharacterized. Lineage: Eukaryota; Metazoa; Chordata; Mammalia; Artiodactyla; Delphinidae. The transcript has 5 exons. The record is from RefSeq and is a predicted model, not a curated record.